Molecule: ribosomal RNA, 431 nt
Filed under: uncultured Phyllobacteriaceae bacterium
Lineage: Bacteria; Pseudomonadati; Pseudomonadota; Alphaproteobacteria; Hyphomicrobiales; Phyllobacteriaceae
Description: bacterial SSU rRNA
Rfam family: Bacterial small subunit ribosomal RNA
Source: RNAcentral
AACGAACGCUGGCGGCAGGCUUAACACAUGCAAGUCGAACGCUCACUUCGGUGAGAGUGGCAGACGGGUGAGUAACACGUGGGAAUCUACCCAUCUCUGCGGAACAACACAUAGAAAUGUGUGCUAAUACCGCAUACGCCCUUCGGGGGAAAGAUUUAUCGGAGAUGGAUGAGCCCGCGCUUGAUUAGCUAGUUGGUGAGGUAAUGGCUCACCAAGGCGACGAUCAAUAGCUGGUCUGAGAGGAUGAUCAGCCACACUGGGACUGAGACACGGCCCAGACUCCUACGGGAGGCAGCAGUGGGGAAUAUUGGACAAUGGGCGCAAGCCUGAUCCAGCCAUGCCGCGUGAGUGAUGAAGGCCCUAGGGUUGUAAAGCUCUUUCGCAGGUGAAGAUAAUGACGGUAACCUGUAAAGAAGCCCCGGCUAACUUCG